Molecule: ribosomal RNA, 1544 nt
Filed under: Vibrio parahaemolyticus
Lineage: Bacteria; Pseudomonadati; Pseudomonadota; Gammaproteobacteria; Vibrionales; Vibrionaceae
Description: bacterial SSU rRNA
Rfam family: Bacterial small subunit ribosomal RNA
Source: RNAcentral
CCCCACAAACCCUAAAAGCAGGGCAGGGGGGCUAACCUUGCAAGUCGGGCGGAAACGAGUUAUUUGAACCCUUUGGCGGGAACGAUAACGGGGUUCGACGCGGCGGACGGGGUGAGUAAUGCCUAGGAAAUUGCCCUGAUUGUGGGGGAUAACCCUUGGAAACGGUGGCUAAUCCCGCAUGAUGCCUUGGGGCCAAAGAGGGGGACCUUUGGGCCCUCUCGGGUCCAGGAUAUGCCUAGGUGGGAUUAGCUAGUUGGUGAGGUAAGGGCUCACCAAGGGGACGAUCCCUAGCUGGUUUGAGAGGAUGAUCAGCCACACUGGAACUGAGACACGGUCCAGAUUCCUACGGGAGGCAGCAGUGGGGAAUAUUGCACAAUGGGCGCAAGCCUGAUGCAGCCAUGCCGCGUGUGUGAAGAAGGCCUUCGGGUUGUAAAGCACUUUCAGUCGUGAGGAAGGUAGUGUAGUUAAUAGCUGCAUUAUUUGACGUUAGCGACAGAAGAAGCACCGGCUAACUCCGUGCCAGCAGCCGCGGUAAUACGGAGGGUGCGAGCGUUAAUCGGAAUUACUGGGCGUAAAGCGCAUGCAGGUGGUUUGUUAAGUCAGAUGUGAAAGCCCGGGGCUCAACCUCGGAAUUGCAUUUGAAACUGGCAGACUAGAGUACUGUAGAGGGGGGUAGAAUUUCAGGUGUAGCGGUGAAAUGCGUAGAGAUCUGAAGGAAUACCGGUGGCGAAGGCGGCCCCCUGGACAGAUACUGACACUCAGAUGCGAAAGCGUGGGGAGCAAACAGGAUUAUAUACCCUGGUAGUCCACGCCGUAAACGAUGUCUACUUGUAGGUUGUGGCCUUGCUCCGUGGCUUUCUUAGCUAACGCGUUUAUUAGACCGCCUGGGGAGUACGGUCGCCCGAUUAUAACUCAACUGAAUUAGACGGGGCGCCCGCACAAUUCGUUGGAGCAUGUUGGUUUUAAUUUGAUGCACCGCGCAGAAGCUUAACGCUACUGCUUGACCUCCAGAGAUAGCUUUCCAGAUGAUUGUAUUGGUGGCCUUCCGGGAACUCUGAGACAUGUAAGCAUGCAUGGCCUGCUCUUCAGCUCCCCGUGUUGUGGAAAUGUUGGGUUAAGGCUGCUUCACGCUUCGCUCGCAGCCCUUGUUUCCUUGUUUGCUUAGCGUAGGUAUUGGUCGGGAAUUGCCCAGGCGAGACCUGCCCGGUGAGUAACCCUGGAAGGAAGGCUGUGGACGACGUCAAGUCAUGAUGGCCCUUACGAGUACGGGGUACACACUUGCUACAAUGGCGUUCAUACAGACGGGGCAGCCGGUACCGGUUGCGUGAGUGAGCGGAACUCCCAAUAUAAGUGAACCUUCGGCAUUAUUCCAGGGAUUGGAGUCUGCAACUCGACUCCAUGACAGUCGGAAUCGCUAGUCUUCUUUGGAUCCCCCGUUACGGUAUUGGCCACUUUGAUUUACGAUUUCCGGGCUUUGUUGACACACCGCCCGUCAUUCUCAUGGUGCGUGGGCUGCAAUCAUUCCUUAUUUUUGUUUAACCUUC